Molecule: ribosomal RNA, 497 nt
Filed under: uncultured bacterium
Lineage: Bacteria
Description: partial 16S ribosomal RNA
Rfam family: Bacterial small subunit ribosomal RNA
Source: RNAcentral
GAUGAACGCUGGCGGCGUGCCUAAUACAUGCAAGUCGAGCGAACGGACGAGAAGCUUGCUUCUCUGAUGUUAGCGGCGGACGGGUGAGUAACACGUGGAUAACCUACCUAUAAGACUGGGAUAACUUCGGGAAACCGGAGCUAAUACCGGAUAAUAUUUUGAACCGCAUGGUUCAAAAGUGAAAGACUGUCUUGCUGUCACUUAUAGAUGGAUCCGCGCUGCAUUAGCUAGUUGGUAAGGUAACGGCUUACCAAGGCAACGAUGCAUAGCCGACCUGAGAGGGUGAUCGGCCACACUGGAACUGAGACACGGUCCAGACUCCUACGGGAGGCAGCAGUAGGGAAUCUUCCGCAAAGGGCGAAAGCCUGACGGAGCAACGCCGCGUGAGUGAUGAAGGUCUUCGGAUCGUAAAACUCUGUUAUUAGGGAAGAACAUAUGUGUAAGUAACUGUGCACAUCUUGACGGUACCUAAUCAGAAAGCCACGGCUAACUACGUG